AACAAACACUCAAAUUAGAGCUUCAGAGCAAAUGACUACUGCCAUCAUCACUGCAACCUCGGGAGUUUCAAGGAAUUAACAACUGAAAAGCAGUCUGGCAUUCCCCUUGCUUUGACCCCUCAAUAUAAAUUCUCUGAUAUUUCUGUUCACUCAGAUUUUGUCUUAGCAGCCUCAAAGAUCAGAAUGGUCUCACUGCUGCCAAGGGCACUGUACAAAUUGAAAGUUUUUAAACCUCCAGCCUUCCAACCCCUCUCAAGAAGUGAGAGCCUGCACUGCCACUAAGCCAAAUCAGCUGUUUCAGAAAGAAGUGGACAAGCAAUGUUCAAAUCAACUGUACCAUCACCCCCACACAGUGAAUUCAAGUGUUUGUAAUAAAGAGCACUAAGAAACACAGACCUCAUUUAAAGUUAUUAUAAAAAAACAUGAACGCAAUGAGACUCUCUCCAUCAGGCCCAAAUCUUUUAUCUGAAACUAAAGCUUGACAUAAUAACAACACUUUAGACCUUGCACAUUAGGAAAUGCUCCCCAACCCCCCGCAUUUUGUCACACACCUGGAACAACCUGCUGCCUUCACGUACAAAAUGUGAGACUGCUCCAAACAAGAUGAGCUGCAAGUGAGGAAAGGGACAAAGAGGGCAAGAGGUACAACAGGUUCUCUGCACCUCCCUCAAAACUGCUAAGCUCAUUAGGGCUUGCAGAAAAGGAUAAAGCUCAAGCAAGGAGCCAUUCCUAGUCUUCUUUCGCCCACACGUAACACUUCCUCCAUCCAAAGAAAUCACUGAGACCCUCAGGAAGUGAAGCACCAGCUUUCCCUGCUUUCUAUAUUUAUAUUAUUGCAGCAGUGCCCUGCACCUUCUUAAGACACUACUGGAAAGCACCUGUACCACUGGUGAGGGGGGUUUUGCCUCCAGCACCUUGGUAAAACAACCAACAGAGAAAACAGCCACGGGAGCAUCUUUAACCAUGCAACCUGUGCCAGCUGGGAGAUCAGCCCAUGCCAAUGCACCACCCAGCAUAUUCCAACACACAGAACAAUUAAUUAUUAAUAAUUCAGGCCAUGGACCACUCCUGAAGGUCUGUGCAGCAAGCCCAGCUGAGGUACUGCAUGAACCACAGCCUGAGGUAGAGCCAAGUCCAACCUCACAGGGAGCACACAAUACAGGCUGUUACUCAAACCAAAGCUGGGUUUGUGUCACAGAGGGGUACUAAUGGCAAAUAAUGAAGUUAUUAUCUAAUAUUUAAAAACAGGAACAGAUUGCUACAUAUUCAGCAUGAGGAACCAGUUAAUUGCAAGCACAAUUCUAGCAGCUGGCUGGAAACGACAGACUUGUCCACAGAGCAAAAACCAACAUUUCUCAUUACUCCUGACAUCAGGGAAUAAACUCCCCCAGGAGCACAGAGCACGAGUUACCAAGGCAAAGGUGUUCUGCUGGGUGGAAGGGGUGGCUUCUCAGCCUUGUUCCCACCAGAAUCAAGGAACAUCUCCCUUGUUAGACCUCACAGAACAGAACUCCUGCUCUCCUCCACCUCCUGCUAUGUUCUCACAGAAGCCUUGGAAGGAAAGUGAUGCUGCUACUCAGUGCUUAGGUCAUGGAGAAGAAGUGGUUUGCCCAUAUGUUUCCUCGAGGAGAAAAGGCUGAAUAAAUGAAGACACAAUACCAGACAUCCCGGGUGGCUUCUAGGAUGAUGCAUGACCUGUGAGUCGACCAAGAUCCAACUAACCACUCAGGAAUAAAUAUCCACAAUGGCAGAUUGUGUUAGGGGAUGUGUUAGGGAAUUUAAGUGAAGUUUAAAUUUACAGACCCUACAGUAAAGCACCAUGAAGAACCAACCAUCUCCUCCCUCCUCAGCCCCAUAGAACUGGACUGGUUUUGCCCACCUGACACUAUUGGUGCAGCUUUCAGCCUCUCCAGAAACACACGCACCAACUACACUGAAAAGCUUGAAUUAAAUCUAGGCCUCAAAGCUUGAUCUUCUUGGUAAAUGAGGAAGUCAGUGAAAACAAUGUAUGCUGUAGGUUUGAACACAAGUAAUUCUGUCAGGAGAAGAUUCUAAGAGCCAGCAGAAAGUAGCUGGAGCUUUCCAUGAGUCCCUGCAGGCACAGAAGCUCAUUGCUGCACUGACUCUCCCAGCAGGAAAACAGCAGAGCAGCUUCUUGUACUUUCACCAUGGUGUCCAGGUGUGAUUAAACUCAAAAUCUGCUUUUAA
This is a long non-coding RNA of Vidua chalybeata, 2208 nucleotides long. RefSeq lists it as uncharacterized. The record is from RefSeq and is a predicted model, not a curated record. The transcript has 2 exons. NCBI's taxonomy places the organism in Eukaryota, Metazoa, Chordata, Aves, Passeriformes, Viduidae.